Molecule: ribosomal RNA, 254 nt
Filed under: uncultured bacterium
Lineage: Bacteria
Description: partial 16S ribosomal RNA
Rfam family: Bacterial small subunit ribosomal RNA
Source: RNAcentral
UACGUAGGGGCCUAGCGUUGUCCGGAAUUAUUGGGCGUAAAGAGCUCGUAGGCGGUUCGGCAAGCCGGAUGUGAAAUCUCCACGCUUAACGUGGAGGGGCCAUUCGAAACUGCUGUGACUCGAGUCCGGUAGGGGAGUGUGGAAUUCCCGGUGUAGCGGUGAAAUGCGCAGAUAUCGGGAGGAACACCAGUAGCGAAGGCGGCACUCUGGGCCGGUACUGACGCUGAGGAGCGAAAGCGUGGGGAGCGAACAGG